AUGGGGAAUAUGAAAAAUUUUGUAAUUUUUUUUAACUAAACAAGGCCCUAAGAUCUGUUUUUUUUUGGGAGGGGAGAGGGGGUCAGUUUUAGGUCUGUAUGUAUUUGAAGAACAUGAGAGUUUUCGGUUAAAUAGAUAGAUAGAUAGAUAGAUUGAACCACUGGUCUGCAAUUCAAAUUAGUAAUGUGAAGUAGUAGUGGAGAAAGUGAAAACACAAAAAUCUCAAUGCA
This 230-nucleotide long non-coding RNA is filed under the name Sorghum bicolor (sorghum). RNAcentral describes it as "long non-coding RNA (SBIC_LNC015518)". Lineage: Eukaryota; Viridiplantae; Streptophyta; Magnoliopsida; Poales; Poaceae. The record is from RNAcentral.